This 547-nucleotide long non-coding RNA is filed under the name Panax ginseng (ginseng). Its description in RNAcentral is "long non-coding RNA (PGIN_LNC008195)". The record is from RNAcentral. Lineage: Eukaryota; Viridiplantae; Streptophyta; Magnoliopsida; Apiales; Araliaceae.
UCGCAUUUUCCUCUUUGCCAUGGUGAGUACUUCAAGCUCAAAUACUUUACUUGACAUCCUUUCUUUGCUUUAUUUAGAAUUGUUAUAAUGAACUUCCCCUUGCUUGUAGGCCCUUUCACCUGGAUGCUCUGCAGGACCACGAACUGCCAAAGAGUCCCCCUUCAUCACCGAUUGGGGGAGAGCUCCCUUCUUUGGUCCUUCUAACAUCUUUUGGGAUUAAAGUGUAAGACCCCGAAUUUUUUUUUAAUAAAAUUGAAUUUUUCCUCUAUUCAUUAUUCUAAAUUAAUAAGGUGUUAAUUGGAUAUAAUGCUUUGGUUAUGGGUGAAAUGUGUAAAUUUUGUAAAAUAAGCAAGUGGUUAUAAAAUAUUCAUUUCUGUCGGGGAAUAUUCGUUUGGUCGUGGAAUAUUCUUUUUGUCGAGAAUAUUCGUACGACGGCGCAGUCAUUUGUGGGCCCCAUAACGGAAUAACUGUCGGAUGAAGAAAAGGACAAGUUUGAGUUUUUAUAAAUAACGGCGUAGUUGUUACCGUUAACACUGUUGGAUUACCU